GGGCAGCAGUGGGGAAUAUUGCACAAUGGGCGAAAGCCUGAUGCAGCGACGCCGCUUGAGGGAUGACGGCCUUCGGGUUGUAAACCUCUUUCAGCAGGGAAGAAGCGAAAGUGACGGUACCUGCAGAAGAAGCACCGGCUAACUACGUGCCAGCAGCCGCGGUAAUACGUAGGGUGCGAGCGUUGUCCGGAAUUAUUGGGCGUAAAGAGCUUGUAGGCGGUUUGUCGCGUCUGCUGUGAAAAUCCGGGGCUCAACCCCGGACUUGCAGUGGGUACGGGCAGACUAGAGUGUGGUAGGGGAGACUGGAAUUCCUGGUGUAGCGGUGAAAUGCGCAGAUAUCAGGAGGAACACCGAUGGCGAAGGCAGGUCUCUGGGCCACUACUGACGCUGAGAAGCGAAAGCAUGGGGAGCGAACAGGAUUAGAUACCCUGGUAGUCCAUGCCGUAAACGUUGGGCGCUAGGUGUGGGACUCAUUCCACGAGUUCCGUGCCGCAGCUAACGCAUUNAGCGCCCCGCCUGGGGAGUACGGCCGCAAGGCUAAAACUCAAAGGAAUUGACGGGGGCCCGCACNAGCGGCGGAGCNUGCGGAUUAAUUCGAUGCAACGCGAAGAACCUUACCAAGGCUUGACAUAUACCGGAAACAUCCAGAGAUGGGUGCCCCUUUUGGUCGGUAUACAGGUGGUGCAUGGUUGUCGUCAGCUCGUGUCGUGAGAUGUUGGGUUAAGUCCCGCAACGAGCGCAACCCUCGUUCUAUGUUGCCAGCACGUCAUGGUGGGGACUCAUAGGAGACUGCCGGGGUCAACUCGGAGGAAGGUGGGGAUGACGUCAAAUCAUCAUGCCCCUUAUGUCUUGGGCUUCACGCNUGCUACAAUGGCCGGUACAAAGGGCUGCGAUACCGCAAGGUGGAGCGAAUCCCAAAAAACCGGUCUCAGUUCGGAUUGGGGUCUGCAACUCGACCCCAUGAAGUCGGAGUCGCUAGUAAUCGCAGAUCAGCAACGCUGCGGUGAAUACGUUCCCGGGCCUUGUACACACCGCCCGUCAAGUCACGAAAGUCGGUAACACCCGAAGCCGGUGGCCCAACCC
This 1083-nucleotide ribosomal RNA is filed under the name Janibacter melonis. RNAcentral describes it as "bacterial SSU rRNA". It matches the Rfam family "Bacterial small subunit ribosomal RNA", at positions 346 to 1441 of the family's 1533-position model. The record is from RNAcentral. Lineage: Bacteria; Bacillati; Actinomycetota; Actinomycetes; Micrococcales; Intrasporangiaceae.